CUUUGCUUUUUUUCUCCACAGGCUUUCUCAGCAACCCCUCCACUUGCAGAGUGGAGAACAAUUGAACAUGCAAGGAUGUCUGCAGCACCAUGUACUGCAUGACCACGCUUAACUGGACGGAGCCCCACAAUCCAUACCAACAUCUCAUCUCAUCUGACCCUCGGCUGCUUUUCUUUGCAGGAAAGAUUGUAGCCCUUUCCACCUUGCGACAGCAGCUGCAUCUCAGUUUCCCUCUCUCAGAAAAGUGGUUUGACCCUAUAAGCAGAUUUCAAGACUUAUGUCCUCAAGAUAGACAACAAUUCAGGUCUUCAGACAACAAUUCAGGUCGUCAACUGCUUUCUUU
This 343-nucleotide long non-coding RNA is filed under the name Crocodylus porosus (Australian saltwater crocodile). RNAcentral describes it as "lncRNA (ENSCPRG00005001918.1)". Lineage: Eukaryota; Metazoa; Chordata; Crocodylia; Crocodylidae. The record is from RNAcentral.